Molecule: unclassified non-coding RNA, 227 nt
Filed under: Hevea brasiliensis (rubber tree)
Lineage: Eukaryota; Viridiplantae; Streptophyta; Magnoliopsida; Malpighiales; Euphorbiaceae
Source: RNAcentral
GCCGCAAGUGUCAAAGCUCCCGAAGGUCAGUCUUAUUGGUGAUCGAUAUCUAUAUAGAAGAUUUCUUUUCACUAACAAAAUCUUGUGAGGCAGAUAUGUGGCUAUCUAAUCGGUUCAAAUGUAAAUUAGAGACGUGAUUUUUGGUCUUUUGGGGCUAAAAUAUACAUUUGUGUAUUGUAUAUCACAAUUCGUUUGCAGUAACAUGAGGGAAGUUUCAUGGAGCCAUG